CGAAAUGCGAUAAGUAAUGUGAAUUGCAGAAUUCAGUGAAUCCUCGAAUCUUUGAACGCACAUUGCGCCCAUUAGUAUUCUAGUGGGCAUGCGUGUUCGAGCGUCA
This 106-nucleotide ribosomal RNA is filed under the name uncultured fungus. RNAcentral describes it as "partial 5.8S ribosomal RNA". It matches the Rfam family "5.8S ribosomal RNA", at positions 49 to 154 of the family's 154-position model. From Rfam's summary of the family: 5.8S ribosomal RNA (5.8S rRNA) is a component of the large subunit of the eukaryotic ribosome. It is transcribed by RNA polymerase I as part of the 45S precursor that also contains 18S and 28S rRNA. Functionally, it is thought that 5.8S rRNA may be involved in ribosome translocation. Lineage: Eukaryota; Fungi. The record is from RNAcentral.